GAUGGGAAAAAAACAUCACGUUGGGAGAACCGCCUGGGUUUUUGCACUCGUGGUGGUGUGUAUUUUGGGACCUUUACUGUGCAGCUCCUGAAAGGAGAGACACUUGUGAACAUUCAAGUGAAGCAAAAGCCUUUCAUGAUUAUAGUGCAGCAGCUGCCCCGAGCCCCGUGCUUGGCAACAUUCCCCCCAACGAUGGGAUGCCGGGAGGCCCCAUCCCGCCAGGUUUCUUUCAGCCUUUUAUGUCACCGCGAUACGCAGGCGGCCCCAGGCCCCCGAUCAGAAUGGGAAACCAGCCUCCGGGAGGAGUUCCUGGGACACAGCCAUUGCUGCCCAAUUCUAUGGAUCCCACACGACAACAAGCCCCCCACCCCAAUCAACCUCUAUGCUUUCUUCUUAAAAAAAAAAAAAAAGGAAAAAGGAAAAAAAAAAAA
This 431-nucleotide long non-coding RNA is filed under the name Homo sapiens (human). Its description in RNAcentral is "non-protein coding lnc-CYB5RL-4:1". Lineage: Eukaryota; Metazoa; Chordata; Mammalia; Primates; Hominidae. The record is from RNAcentral.